Molecule: long non-coding RNA, 1376 nt
Organism: Anneissia japonica
Lineage: Eukaryota; Metazoa; Echinodermata; Crinoidea; Comatulida; Comatulidae
Exons: 4
Source: RefSeq, a predicted model, not a curated record
AGAGCGGCUGUCCAACAGACCAAUAAUUGGGCAGAGUUAUAGGACGUCUCUGCUCAACAAACCAAUCAGUGAGCCCUGUUGAGUAGGCGGCAAUGAUGUCACCUAAGUUUACAAUUUUCUGCUGAAAGUGGAGUAGAUUGACCUGCACACCACUCGCGAAGAUGAAUUGGUCUACCAAUUCCGAUAAAGUUUUCCCGAUUAACCAGUCAAAACUUCUCGUCAAAAGUAAACAUUUAGGAGGAUGUCACUCCGCUGCAUCACACUCGGGAAUGCUAUGCUGUAAAGAUCACUGGUGAGAAUGGAAGGUGAUGUGGAUCAUGAGUGCACCAUUUGUUCACUUUGAAAUCAAAUCUUACCCGUCAUAUGAAGCUACAUGAUGAACACGAGAACUGAAGAAUGAUGUUUGUUGUCCCCACUUGAAGUGAUAAAAGCAGCUCCUCGAGUUUGUCUACUAAUUUCCUGCUGUGAAAAUUGAUCUUGAUAACCGCUUGAAAGUAAGACAUGAAUAAUGCCAAUAAGAACAACCCUUCAGUAAUUGAUAGUCAACACUAUUUCUCAGCAUCCGUGAAGCACAAAGAGAAACAAGAACCACUGACAGACCUGGACCCAGAUUACAUUGAAGAUGCUGAACUGUUGGCUCUUGCAGAUGUGCACUUCAGGCCCUACAACACUGUUCUGCUUGUUAUCUCAUAAAAACCUACAGGCACAGGUCACAGAUGCUGUUUCUUAACUAUGCAAGUUUUUAAGUAGUAGCAGUUGCGAUAUUGUCGUUAGUUGCGUAGUACAUUUUUGUUUUCCAUGGUAAUUUAACUUUGAAUGAAGCUCAUUGCCGUUAAUGCGUGUGUUGCUCAUUGGUAAUUAACAUAAUUAAAAGUUCACCCGUUAAUUUUUCACAUCAUCACCAUAAUUCUCAUCGAACAUCUCUUUACUUAAAAUGUGUAUAAAUUAUAUACUGGCACUGUAUUAUGGCCACGAUGGGUCCCCAAGGGCCUACUAGCUGCAAUUUCUAAUUUUAAAUUCCAAACUUGGAAUCAUAACAAUGACAUAACAAUUCAAAAAAAUAAAUAAAACAGUGAGUCAAUUUCCAGUUAAAUUGAAAUUAUUCUACAUAAAUGUAUUUUAAUGAAAUUUAAGUUUACUGCAGUUACUUCUAUAUUGUUGUUUCUGAUGCUGUAAGCAAUUUAAACUAAGUACAGAGACCACUGUAAUUUACAGUGAAGCCUUUCCUGAUAAGCUGCUUUUGCUACUAUUCUAGUAUCACACACUAUGUGUGUAACAUAGAUUUUUAAAGUACAGUAUAUCUAUCUAUGAUGUAUGAUAUCAAAAUGUCACUGCUGUAAAUUGUUAAUAAAGGACCUUACAAAUUGAUCCAAGGA